Molecule: unclassified non-coding RNA, 1207 nt
Filed under: Amphibalanus amphitrite
Lineage: Eukaryota; Metazoa; Arthropoda; Thecostraca; Balanomorpha; Balanidae
Description: zinc finger protein 628-like, transcript variant X2
Source: RNAcentral
ACAGUUCUCACACAAAACCAGUGCACAAAACACACGCGUAAUCAAAUUGACUGAAUGCUCCAUUACCAAGCCUUUAUUAGCGAGAGGAAAUUGAAAUGACUUCAAGUGUCGCCAAGGACAGACUUGUGAAUGGAUUGUGCAGACAGAGGGAAAGCGGGGAUUAUUGUGAUGUGCUGAUAACAGUUCCAAACUCUGUGCAUUUAUCAGCACAUUCCAACAUCUUGGCUGUUUCAAGCAUUUAUUUCUCGGACAUUGCAAGGAAGUCUUCGUCUCUCCUGCCACACAUUCCUUCAACAAGGCUAGGAGGUUAUGUCUCUCUUUCUGUCACAAUUCAUUCCAGCUGGGGAAAUGAAAGUCAAUCUGAAAAGGUCCAGCAAGCUAUGGUCUCAGCCAACCAAGGAGAUGUGAUUGAAGACAAUGUUCAGACAAGUACAGCUCAAGACAUCAUCUAUAUUGAGCCAGCAAAUGAAGGAGUAAAUAUGGACCAGGUUAUUUUCAGUGUGCAGGGAACUCCCAAUUUGAUGACUGUUCUUGGCAAUGAGUUAUCUGACAGCAACAUGUCAGCAGCAAUCCUGGGUUCUGGUGGUGUUGGUGAUGGAAUCACCAUAGUUCAGCCCUCUGCAGGUCUCCCAGGGAGCAGAACUGUUGAUGUGCCAGAGACAGCCUCAGUAACGGAUGUGGUGGCAGUCAGCACUAGUGAUAUGGCGAUUGGUAGCAGUGAGGUGGUUACUGUAUCUGGCUCGUCUCCCUCGGUGGAGACGGCGAGCCCUGAUGGGAGGCCGAGCUCGGCGGCGCGUCAUCCCAGGGCUCCCCGUCAGCCGGGCGCCUACCGAUACCUACUGGAGCUGUCUGUGGCGGAGGGGGCGCCCGCCGAGCCGUCCCUCCUGGCCGACUGUGUCCGCCAGCUUACCGAAGAGAUGCUUACCGAAGAGAUAGGAGUAGGAGGCAUGGGAGCGGGUGGCUCAUGAGGGUUGCCUCCUCUCAUUGUUAGUUAGCAUGUACUUGUCGAAUCUUCUCUUGAAUUGAUUGACAUUCUCACUUUGUAUGACAGUUUCAGGCAGGCAGUUCCACUUGUCGACAACUCUAGAUGGGAAGAACUCGUUACGUUUUUGUGUUCUGUGUCUUGGCUUAAUUAGCUUCAUACUGUGUCCCCUUGUUCCUUGCUGUCCAUGAUCCAGGACCAGAAAUGCACAGUCUGUUUUGAUUC